Molecule: transfer RNA, 90 nt
Filed under: Escherichia coli
Lineage: Bacteria; Pseudomonadati; Pseudomonadota; Gammaproteobacteria; Enterobacterales; Enterobacteriaceae
Also listed under: 5 other names
Description: tRNA-Ser
Rfam family: tRNA
About the family: Transfer RNA (tRNA) molecules are approximately 80 nucleotides in length. Their secondary structure includes four short double-helical elements and three loops (D, anti-codon, and T loops). Further hydrogen bonds mediate the characteristic L-shaped molecular structure. tRNAs have two regions of fundamental functional importance: the anti-codon, which is responsible for specific mRNA codon recognition, and the 3' end, to which the tRNAs corresponding amino acid is attached (by aminoacyl-tRNA synthetases). tRNAs cope with the degeneracy of the genetic code in two manners: having more than one tRNA (with a specific anti-codon) for a particular amino acid; and 'wobble' base-pairing, i.e. permitting non-standard base-pairing at the 3rd anti-codon position.
Source: RNAcentral
GGUAGAGUGGCAGAGUGGUUUAAUGCAACGGUCUUGAAAACCGUCGGUCUUGAAAGAGGCCCGUGAGUUCGAAUCUCACCUCUAUCGCCA